CCUACGGGUGGCAGCAGUGAGGAAUAUUGGUCAAUGGCCGUAAGGCUGAACCAGCCAAGUCGCGUGAAGGAAGAAGGAUCUAUGGUUUGUAAACUUCUUUUAUAGGGGAAUAAAGGUAUCCACGUGCGGAUAUUUGCAUGUACCCUAUGAAUAAGCAUCGGCUAACUCCGUGCCAGCAGCCGCGGUAAUACGGAGGAUGCGAGCGUUAUCCGGAUUUAUUGGGUUUAAAGGGUGCGUAGGUGGUUAUGUAAGUCAGCGGUGAAAGUUGGUGGCUCAACCAUAAGAUUGCCGUUGAAACUGGAAGGCUGGAGUGUGGUUGAGGUAGGCGGAAUGCGUGGUGUAGCGGUGAAAUGCAUAGAUAUCACGCAGAACUCCAGUUGCGAAGGCAGCUUACUGAGCCAUAACUGACACCGAAGCACGAAAGCGUGGGGAUCAAACAGGAUUAGAUACCCUGGUAGUC
RNAcentral lists this ribosomal RNA (460 nucleotides) under uncultured bacterium. Its description in RNAcentral is "partial 16S ribosomal RNA". It matches the Rfam family "Bacterial small subunit ribosomal RNA", at positions 338 to 795 of the family's 1533-position model. The record is from RNAcentral.